GGAUGCGAUCAUACCAGCACUAAAGCAUCGGAUUCCAUCAGAACUCCGAAGUUAAUCGUGCUUGGGCGAGAGUAGUACUAGGAUGGGUGACCUCCUGGGAAGUCCUUGUGUUGCAUUCC
RNAcentral lists this ribosomal RNA (119 nucleotides) under Triticum aestivum (bread wheat). Lineage: Eukaryota; Viridiplantae; Streptophyta; Magnoliopsida; Poales; Poaceae. The record is from RNAcentral.